This 253-nucleotide ribosomal RNA is filed under the name uncultured bacterium. Its description in RNAcentral is "partial 16S ribosomal RNA". It matches the Rfam family "Bacterial small subunit ribosomal RNA", at positions 524 to 776 of the family's 1533-position model. The record is from RNAcentral.
UACGGAGGGAGCUAGCGUUGUUCGGAAUUACUGGGCGUAAAGCGCGCGUAGGCGGCUUUUUAAGUCAGGGGUGAAAUCCCGGAGCUCAACUCCGGAACUGCCCUUGAAACUGGGAAGCUAGAAUAUUGGAGAGGUAAGUGGAAUUCCGAGUGUAGAGGUGAAAUUCGUAGAUAUUCGGAAGAACACCAGUGGCGAAGGCGACUUACUGGACAAUUAUUGACGCUGAGGUGCGAAAGCGUGGGGAGCAAACAGG